RNAcentral lists this long non-coding RNA (7566 nucleotides) under Triticum aestivum (bread wheat). RNAcentral describes it as "long non-coding RNA (TAES_LNC016456)". Lineage: Eukaryota; Viridiplantae; Streptophyta; Magnoliopsida; Poales; Poaceae. The record is from RNAcentral.
AAAAUAAUACAAUCUUUAUAUUACAAGCGAGGGGCCUCGAGGGCUCGAAUACAUCAGCUCGAAUACAAACGAGUCAGCGGAAGCAACAAUAUCUGAGUACAGACAUGAGUUAAACAAGUUUGCCUUAAGAAGGCUAGCACAAAAGCAACAUGAUCGAAAAGGCAAGGCCUCCUGCCUGGGAGCCUCCUAACUACUCCUGGUCGUCGACGGCCUCCACAUAGUAGUAGGCACCCUCGGGUUUGUAGUAGUCGUCGUCGAAGGUGGCAUCUGGCUCCUGGACUCCGUCAUUUCAUUGCGUCAUCCGAGAACAAUGGAAAAGAGGGAGCAAAGCAACAGUGAGUACUCAUCCAAAGUACUUGCAAGCAAGGAUCUACACUACAUAUGCAUCGAUGUCAAUUGAAAUGGGCUGUAUCUCUGGACUGAACUGCAGAAUGCCAGAAGAGAAGGGGAAAAGCUAGUCCUAUCGAAGACUAGCAUCUUCUGGAAACCACCAUCUUGCAGCAACAUGAGGGAGUAGAGUAGUAUAACAUAAGUCAUAUUUAUGUUGUUGUAUCAACGCUCCGGGAUCCUUUCUCGACUCCCGAAGCAACAUAUCCAAAUCAUGCCUCAGCAUCCAGUUCUAAUUGUAUCGAUGGGGAUACAACUCCGAGUGUCCAUUACUGUAGGACAGGCUAUCAAUAGAGGUUUUCUUCCCUGCCGGGGUGCACCAACUUACCCACCACGCUUAAUUAACUCCGGCCGGACACACUUUCCUAGGUCAUGCCUGGCCUCGCCAAACAAUAUGCCGCAACCCGACCUAGGCUUAAUAGAGAGGUCAGCAUGCCAGACUAAACCUAUGCCCCCAGGGGUCAUCGGCCAUCGCCCCGGGUACUCCUGCAUGUUGCGUGGGCGGCCGGUGAGCAGAUCUAGCUACCUCCUUAAAAAGGCAGGUGCUUACGCAUUCCAACCCGGCGCGCGACGCUCAGUCGCUGACGUCUAUUAAGCUUCGGCUGAUGCAUACGACGCAGAACGCCCAUACUAUGCCCACAUGAUGGUUAGUGCUAUCAGGCCAGAGGCCCCUCGAAUCAAAUAUCCAAAUCGUAGUGGAUUAGGAACGCGCGGUAACAAGCAGCGACUCAGGAAAGAUGUGACCCCAUCGCCCCGUCUCGAGGACUUGCGGCAAGGGCUAAGAAUGCCCGGCCACACCUCGUAAUUAUCUCGCGGGCACCUUCCAGGUUAACCCGACUCCACAUCACUCACAAUUAAGCUCGCGCGGGUACCCCUCAGGGCCGACCCGUCUUUAGUAACAUGGUUCAGUGUAAAUUCAUAGUAAUCAUAGUAACCGUGUGUCUAACACCAAGGGGAACCCUGAGGAACCACCCUCGGUGGAUUCCACUCGAUGUAAUCAUCAAGGUGAACGUAAGAGGAACCACCCUCGAUGUUCACACUUGAGGGGUUGCACGACAGAGUCAUAUAGGAAGUGGUUAAGGAGGAAAUCACCCUCGAUGACCAUGACUGAAUAGCUACACUACAGAGAUCUCAUCAGGAGUGAUGUAUGAGGUUCCACCCUCGGCACUCGAUGGUAACUCUGCAGAGUGAGCAACAAAAGGGGCGUGAUGUGAUGUGAUGUGAGGUGUCAGGCUCUGGUCGUCGAUCACGUUGAUCGAGUCAUCGAUGAUGAAGCAGGGGCAACAAGGACAAGGUGGGGGUCACUGAUGGAUCACUAACCAACCUAUACUAAGCAGUUCAGGAUAAGCAGGUAAGGUACAAUAGCAGAUACAAAAGCAGGCUAUGAAUCAGAAUAGGAGAAAACAAUAACAGUAGCAAAAUCUAAUGCAAUCAUGAGAGAAUGAAAUGGGUGAUAUCGGGAUGAUCAAAGGGGGGGCUUGCCUGGUUGCUCCGGCAAGGAGGGGUCCUCGUCGACGUAGUCGAUCACAGGGGCAGCAUCGGUCUCGAGGUCUACCGGAGAGAAGAGGGGGAAGAAACAGUAAAUAUAAAGCAAAAAUAGCAUCACAAAGCAUAACGUGGCAAUAUGUUGUGCCGGGUGUGACCUAUCGUAUGGCUACACGAUAUAGGUGAAGGGGGGAAUUCAACCGGGAAUGUAUUCCCGGUUCCGGACAUGUGUCAGACAGAUGACCGGAGGGGAAUGUUCCAUGUUCAGAUAGUUGGAAGCAUCUGACAGGUAUGUGGUUAGCGUAUUCGGGUUCGUUUAGUCGUUCUGAGCAACUUUCAUGUAUAAAGUUUUUCCAACCGAGCUACGGUUUAUUUUCUAUGAAUUUUCAAAGAUUAAACCAUUUUCCGGAAUUAUUUAAAUUAACAGAAAAGGGAAUUAUGACAUCAGCAUGAGGCAAUGCUAACGUCAGCAGGUCACCAGGUCGGCUAACCAGUCAAACCAGACAGGUGGCGCCCACAUGUCAGGCACUGUAAUUAACAGAGUUUAUAUUAAACUAAUCUGAGGUUAAAUAGCUACUAGGCCCCACAUGUCAGUCUCUAAUUAGUAACUAAUUAGGUUUUAAUUAUUAAAACAUUUUAAUUAAUUAAUAUAGCGGUGAGGCCCGUGUGUUAGUGGCACUGGGCUGCCUGGUGAGCAGUUGGCUGGGUUAACCGGGCCAGCAGUUGGCUGGGCUGCCUGGUGCCCAAGCGGUGCCACGUCGGUGCCAGGUCAGCGCAGGCGACAGAGUGACGCCGACGAGCCUACCCGCGGUGGUGCAUCGCCGGAGUUGGCCGGAAAACGCGUACGGGGCACGGAAAGGGUUGCGACUAGGCAUGUUCGAACGGUCAGUCGACCGCGCGUCGAGUGGUGGUGGUGGCAUCGCCGGACCUGGCUGGAAACGUCGCCGGCGACAAGGUCCGUGGUGAAGCAGCUACGAUCGGCAGCGGAAAAGGUGCUACGGCGUGCUACAGAUCAGGCGAAAGGGCUAGGCGGGAGCAGCAGUCCUCCAGGACCGCGCUGCGGGGACUAGACGGAGCAGGAAGAGCUCGGGAGCUCGUGCGCGGCAGCAAUGGCGGACGGAGGAGCCGGCAUUUACGGCCAGCUAUCUAGGGAAGGAGGAAACCGUGUAAGGAUGGGGAGGAAGGAGGCGGAGCUUAUGGGGCAGGCACACGGAGGCCUCUCGGGGUUCGGGAGCGCAGAGGGAGGCCUGUGGCUCCGGUGAUCGCCGGUGACCACCGAGAAGGGGAAGAGGGUGAUGCUGAUGUCGCCGACCUCCCCGACUCCAGCUAAUGGACGAGGACGGCGCACCUCCCAGGCUCGGUUGCCGGGCUUGGGAACGCCGGUAGCCGCGGGGACGACGGAGAACGGCGGCGAACGCGCUGGAGCGUCGAUGGGGAACGAGGGGGAGAGGCAAGGAGCGGGCGAGGGGAAUCUGUGAGUGGGUGGAGGUAGGUGGGGGAGACCUCGAGGAGCCGGAGGGGGGGCUCUUAUCCACCCGCGGCGUUGCCGGUGAGGUGGUCGGGCGGCGACGAGCCCCUGUAUCAGCGCGCACCGGGGGAACAUAAGGGAGGGGAGAGCGACCAGGGAGUGGGCGUGGGCCGGCCUAGCUGGGCCAGUUGUGCCCAAGUGGGGCAGGGGCUUUCUCUCCCCUCUGCUUUUCCUUUUCUACUUUUCUUUGCUUUUUUUCAGCAGCUUUUGCAUUUGCUUUUAGCCACCAUUGACUUUGCAAAAUUAUGCUACUGGACAAAAUAAUUUCUAAGAAUUAUUGGGCACUGCCACAAAGAGAUUGUGAGGCUUUUGAAAUAGUUUGCAAUUUUUCUAUAUUAAACAUGCAUUUAAUUAAUUGCUUUAGCCAAAGUUUUAACUAGUUUAGGGAACUUAGGCAUUUUGGAAAAAUGUUAGUUCAUCACCAAUAUUACCAGAAGAAUACUUUCCACAUGAUGAACAUUUUAGUUUUCAUGUUUGAGCACUUUGAAUUUUGAAUUUAAUUUGAAUUUGAAGUUGAAUGGUGUUUGAAUGCGAAUGAGGAUUAGCAACAAUAAGAGUGAUGACAUGGCACCAUCAACAGGGGAUUACUGUAGCAUGAUUCUCCGGGUGUUACAAAUCUCCUCCACUACAAGAAAUCUCGUCUCGAGAUUUAAGGGGUGGAGUAAGGGGGAGAGACUCGGGAAGGACGGAGCUCAACACAAGAUAGGUACGUGGGGACUAUCUCAGUGAACAUGGCAUAGAAGCAUCUCUCGAGUUGAAAUUCAUGAAAGUCAUCGAGAGCAAAGUGAGGUGCAAUAAGAAGCUCCAACUGGGUAGGCAAUCGUUUGUUGCCUGAAACAAGGGGUGAAAGGGGUUCAGAGAAAUGGUAAUAAGUAUUGCGUCUGAUACCAGAAUAGAUCGCCUCUCGGAAGGCGGCUCGGGAUUUUCAUAUGAAGCCAAGCGUGAGAAAUAACCUUAGAAACAAAGGUGUACAGGAGAGUCAGGUUUUGAUCUUGUGGAACUAUGGGUUAUGGGCCCACCAUGUGGGUUAAAAGCAAGAAGGCGCUAACAUCUUGAACGGUCAUGAUAGCAAGGCAGGUCAGAGGAUAUCCUGUCAGUUAUGUUGGCAACAAAGUUUGGUACCAAGGGCGUGGGACGAAGAGAACCAUUUUCCUGCUCGUAAGACGAGGCGGACCAAUAGGCAAAGUUAUCAUCUAUCGGUGGUUACCGGGAUGUCAUCAACAAUAGUAACAGGGUCUUACUGACAGAGUUGUACACCAAGGUGCUUACUUAAGCAGGGAUUUAUCUCUGCUCAGACAAGUUAGAUUACAAGAAAGGUGAAACAAAACAAGGGAAAGGAAGACCAAUGGAGAGGAAAGGUGUUUAUACUUUAUACCCAAGUAUUAGAGUAUAACUUUCCCAAGGAAAGGCAUGGCAUGAUAGGGCUCCAAGUAUUAAACCGUUUAGACAAAGGGGUAAGGAAUUUAUGAGGUUUACCCAUACAAUGGUCUUUGGAUAACUGAUCAAGAACAGUUAGCGUUGCGCUCUCAAUGUUCUUAUUGAUGUUCGGAGUACCACUAUCAUGCUUUCGGAUAGCAUUGACAUGGUCAUUAGGUAAAGAUCGGACCUUGGGAAUACAAAGGAUCAAUCAAGAAUUUUUAGAACAUCUUAUGCAAUUUUAUUUGGUAAAAGAUGGGAAGGUGGCUGAUGGGUUCAGCGGCAAUCCAUCGACAUGUCACAAAGGAUGUAUUUCCAAAAUUAUAUGAACAAGUUUGUGUUGGGGCGAAGGCAUAAAUGUUGUCGAUGAUAACACAAAUCAUCGAGGGGUAAGCAUGGUAUUUCUCAUCAUGAAGUAUUGAUAUCCCGGAAGAUUUCAUAAUGUUGAUGAUGAUCACCACAAUUGUGGAGAGAUUUCAUGAAGAUGUAAUCGAUCAGCGAUGACAUCAAGUCAAAGGAAUGAUGAAGCAAAAGGUUAUUGGAACCACGGGUAUGGCACAAACUCGAAAUCAAGCUUGUUGUUCAAGGCGAAAAGAUAUGACAAGGAAAAUGGACGUAGACUUAGCUCAUCGUCGGAAAUUGUGCUUCGGGAAGAAGGACCAGGUAGCACAGUUAAAAUUUAGCAUUAUAAUGAUAUAGCCGAUCGGGCUAGGAAUGACUUGAAGGAUUAUUAAACUCAUAAGCAACGCAAAUUAUUUAGAGUUAUUAAAUUGGAGUGUGGAAUCGAUUCACUUAUCGGCGUUCUCGAGUGACUAACAACUCAAAACCCCGGGAAAUCUGAAAUCGAUGAGAAGCAAUACCAUAUGAAGACUCACAGGAAGCAACACGGUUCUUUGUUAUUCUCAAGAUACCGGAGGGUAAUACUCGAUGGAAGAUAAAAAUAGAGGUUACGAAGAUGCAUUUAUCUACAUAAGACAAGUGCUUUAACUUGUCCGAGAAAUGGAAUCAAAGGGGAACAAUCAUGGUCAGAACCAUGGUUGCAAAGGAUCAAAUCCUAGAUAUAAGAUGAUCUUAUACCAAGGGGAUAAUUAACUUUAAGAGAAGCUUCCAUGAUAAGAUCUACAUCAUGUCCAUGCGCAUGAACACAAAGUUCAAGGUCGACUCCCACUUUUUUUUAAUGCAUAUCAUUCCAUUUACUUCUCGCUUUUGAUGAAGUUGUAGUGUUGAAAUGUUAUCUGGCAAAACACCAGAAGAGUAAGACUCGUUAAAAACUCUUGGGUUCAACGGAUUAGGGGAGGCAUAGGUUCAACCCAUAGGGGCAUCUUAGGAACCUAUUCCACAAACUUCAGAAGUAAACAACACAAGCUUGAAAGCAGAUCAUGGUUGACAAAAGGAGAGGAGACAAUUUACCAAAGGCUUUAUGUAUCCGAGGAAAGGCUCACAAGGUUAUUGCAUAUGAAGGAUGUUGUCACACAAAAUCCAGCAAGGGGUCUAACGAUCCACAACAGAGCUGAUGUGAGUAUCGGUACUCAACUAGAUGAGGAAGAAUGCAAAGGCAUCGAAUUAUAGAAACAUCUGAAUAAUUUGAUGCUUAAAAUGCAAAGAAAUUAUGAUUUCCAGAUCGGUGUAUCAGGAUCAGAUGCUCUGAUUAAAGAUGAGAAAGUUGAAUAGACUUAGAGGCACAACCGAUCAUAAUUCGAUUGGCCAAGGACCAACUCAUAUUCGGAAUGACGUCCAUUUCGGAAGGACAAAUUCUAGGUAUCAACUGUUGAUUGAGUGUAUCCGCACACCUGAUGAAUCAAUAGGGUCAGAAUGACAGUGACAAAGGAUGUCAACGAAGAUUACCAGUCAUAUGGAGUUAACCAUAAUGCAGGAAGGAAAGAACUUUAGUAGCAAUAGGUCGCUGAGGUUUUUCCGAAGAUCGAUUAGCAUUUUGAAGAAUUUGUGAGAAUAACUAGGGAUGAAUGGAUACUCGGUAAGUGCGAGGAAUUAUUCGUAGGGGUAUUCAUGCGGCAAGGAACUGCAAGGCAGUGGCACAAAGGAUCCUCGGAACAAAAGAGAGAAUUUCAAGGUAUCUUGUAGUAACAAGAUCAAUUGGAAAGAAGGUUUGGCCAGCAAGUGUAUGUGGCUAUCCAUAGGGAUUCAUCGAUGUUUGGGAAUUGCAACGACGAAGGGCACAUGGGUCUCGGGAAAACAUUGAAGAGUAUCUUCAGAAUCUUCUUGUGCACCAAGCGACCAUGUGGAAUGAGGGCUCUCUGGGAGGAAGUAGUUACGAGAACCUAAGGUUAGAGUUAGUAAAAACAUUUAACCUGAAUAGAAGAGAGAUCAGAAUCCUAGAGUAUAGACGAGGAAUAAAAGAUCCUAAUACCACCCAAUGGUGACGUGGGCCCGUAAGGCACACAACCAUGUUAGUAAAAUUUUUGUAGUGACUAGACUCGACUUCGGCCAAGGAGUUGGAAGGGGGCUACCUACAGGCAGUCGGCUCUGAUACCAACUUGUGAUGCCCCCGAUUCAAUCGUACACUAAUCAUACACGCAAAUGUGUACGAUCAAGAUCAGGGACUCACGGGAAGAUAUCACAACACAACUCUAGACACAAAUUAAAAUAAUACAAGCUUUAUAUUACAAGCCAGGGGCCUCAAGGGCUCGAAUACAUCAGCUCGAAUACAAACGAGUCAGUGGAAGCAACAAUAUCUGAGUACAGACAUGAGUUAAACAAGUUUGCCUUAAGAAGGCUAGCACAAAAGCAAC